GCCUGGCUGGCUGAGUUGGUAGAACAUGUGACUCUUAAUCUCGGGGCUUGUGGGAUUAAGCCCCAUGUUAGGCA
Molecule: transfer RNA, 74 nt
Filed under: Ailuropoda melanoleuca (giant panda)
Lineage: Eukaryota; Metazoa; Chordata; Mammalia; Carnivora; Ursidae
Rfam family: tRNA
About the family: Transfer RNA (tRNA) molecules are approximately 80 nucleotides in length. Their secondary structure includes four short double-helical elements and three loops (D, anti-codon, and T loops).
Source: Rfam by way of RNAcentral